AUUGAACGCUGGCGGCAUGCCUUACACAUGCAAGUCGAACGGCAGCACGGGAGCAAUCCUGGUGGCGAGUGGCGAACGGGUGAGUAAUAUAUCGGAACGUGCCCAGUCGUGGGGAUAACGUAGCGAAAGCUACGCUAAUACCGCAUACGAUCUAUGGAUGAAAGCGGGGGAUCGCAAGACCUCGCGCGAUUGGAGCGGCCGAUAUCAGAUUAGGUAGUUGGUGAGGUAAAGGCUCACCAAGCCGACGAUCUGUAGCUGGUCUGAGAGGACGACCAGCCACACUGGGACUGAGACACGGCCCAGACUCCUACGGGAGGCAGCAGUGGGGAAUUUUGGACAAUGGGCGCAAGCCUGAUCCAGCAAUGCCGCGUGCAGGAUGAAGGCCUUCGGUUGUAAACUGCUUUUGUUACGGAACGAACGGUAGAGCUCUAAUACAGUUGCUAAUGACGGUACCGUAAGAAUAAGACACCGGCUAACUACGUA
RNAcentral lists this ribosomal RNA (483 nucleotides) under uncultured bacterium. RNAcentral's name for it is "bacterial SSU rRNA". It matches the Rfam family "Bacterial small subunit ribosomal RNA", at positions 30 to 507 of the family's 1533-position model. The record is from RNAcentral.